This 393-nucleotide ribosomal RNA is filed under the name uncultured bacterium. RNAcentral describes it as "bacterial SSU rRNA". It matches the Rfam family "Bacterial small subunit ribosomal RNA", at positions 385 to 770 of the family's 1533-position model. The record is from RNAcentral.
GAUGCAGCGACGCCGCGUGAGGGAAGAAGAUUUUCGGAUCGUAAAGCUCUGUUGUAAGUCAAGAACGGGUGUGAGAGUGGAAAGUUCACACUGUGACGGUAGCUUACCAGAAAGGGACGGCUAACUACGUGCCAGCAGCCGCGGUAAUACGUAGGUCCCGAGCGUUGUCCGGAUUUAUUGGGCGUAAAGCGAGCGCAGGCGGUUUGAUAAGUCUGAAGUUAAAGGCUGUGGCUCAACCAUAGUUCGCUUUGGAAACUGUCAAACUUGAGUGCAGAAGGGGAGAGUGGAAUUCCAUGUGUAGCGGUGAAAUGCGUAGAUAUAUGGAGGAACACCGGUGGCGAAAGCGGCUCUCUGGUCUGUAACUGACGCUGAGGCUCGAAAGCGUGGGGAGCG